AUUGAACGCUGGCGGCAUGCCUUACACAUGCAAGUCGAACGGUAACAGGUCUUCGGAUGCUGACGAGUGGCGAACGGGUGAGUAAUACAUCGGAACGUGCCUAGUAGUGGGGGAUAACUACUCGAAAGAGUGGCUAAUACCGCAUGAGAUCUACGGAUGAAAGCAGGGGAUCGCAAGACCUUGUGCUACUAGAGCGGCCGAUGGCAGAUUAGGUAGGUGGUGGGAUAAAAGCUUACCAAGCCGACGAUCUGUAGCUGGACUGAGAGGACGAUGAGCCACACUGGGACUGAGACACGGCCCAGACUCCUACGGGAGGCAGCAGUGGGGAAUUUUGGACAAUGGGCGCAAGCCUGAUCCAGCAAUGCCGCGUGCAGGAUGAAGGCCUUCGGGUUGUAAACUGCUUUUGUACGGAACGAAAAGCCCUGGGUUAAUACCCUGGGGUCAUGACGGUACCGUAAGAAUAAGCACCGGCUAACUACGUGCCAGCCGCCGCAGUAA
This 498-nucleotide ribosomal RNA is filed under the name uncultured bacterium. Its description in RNAcentral is "partial 16S ribosomal RNA". It matches the Rfam family "Bacterial small subunit ribosomal RNA", at positions 30 to 523 of the family's 1533-position model. The record is from RNAcentral.